GUGCUCACUUCGGCAGCACGUAUACUAAAAUUGGAACGAUACAGAGGUAAGCAUGGCCCCUGCACAAGGAUGACAUGUACAAUAAUGAAUAAUACAAUUUCAAG
Molecule: small nuclear RNA, 104 nt
Organism: Ailuropoda melanoleuca (giant panda)
Lineage: Eukaryota; Metazoa; Chordata; Mammalia; Carnivora; Ursidae
Source: Ensembl